Molecule: long non-coding RNA, 1025 nt
Organism: Prunus avium (sweet cherry)
Lineage: Eukaryota; Viridiplantae; Streptophyta; Magnoliopsida; Rosales; Rosaceae
Source: RefSeq, a predicted model, not a curated record
GAAAUUGAGAAGUGUCCCCAAAUUGCUUAGAAUCCUCAAACACAAAUUAGGGAUUUCUUUUGGGCCGUUUAGGGUUUAAUUAAAAAUUCUCAUAUGUGCGUAAAAGUUAAUCUAUUGAAGGAGCUGGUUACACAACCAAAAUGACGAAAAGCACAAGAGAAGGCAGUGGAAGCUUCAACAAACCAGUUAACCUAAGAAUAUGUAGAACAAGUACCUAAUAUAGGAACUAUAGAGGUUCAUGUAGAGCUGGCUGGGAAUGUCAUCAAUGAAGAGGGUAAUGAAGAAGAAGAGAGUGUUGAAGAAGACAUUAAUAUUGAUGGUAGGAGAUGAAGAUUAGAAUUUGAAAAUAGUGUUGAUGAAUAAGACAAGGAGAUUUAUGAGAGUGACAAUGAUGCUGCCCUAGAUGACAAUAACAAAUUUGAUCUAGAUUUUCAGUCCAACUUUGAGAGAGUAGGAAAUACUUAUCUCCCUAAAGAUUUUGUGGCUGCUGCUUGUGAAGAAUACAAUGAUACAAACUCUGAGAAAUGAUUUGACUCUCUAAUUACUCUUUAGAUGAGGAAGGUGAAAGAAGGAGAAAAUUUUCAGAGUUUUGUAAGUCUGAUUUGGAUAACCUUAACUUUGAGAAGGGAAUGUUAUUUGGAAGAAAGGAAGACUUGAAAAAAGCUGUGAAGAAUUAUGUAGUGCAAGGCAAUUAUCGUAUUAAAUUUGUGAAAAAUGAUAAAAGGAGGAUAACUGCACAAUGUUUAGGGUAUAAUGUGUCUGAUAGUUAAUGUGCAAGAGCUAAGAACAAGGCCAAUGAGAUAAUAUAAGGGACUUAUAAGGAGCAAUACUCAAGGUUGCGAGAGUAUUGUGAUGAGGUCAUAGCAACUAAUGUUGGAAGCACAAUGAAGUUGGUGAACUUAUUUUUUUAAAUGCAAAUCAGGAAAAGCUCAUCACAUGCAACUUUGCAGCAAGGUGUAUCGAGUUCUGUGAAUCUAUCUGCCUCUACCUAUGUGAAUCCAUCUGCUUCUGCCUCUGUGAAUCCA